Molecule: long non-coding RNA, 622 nt
Filed under: Sorghum bicolor (sorghum)
Lineage: Eukaryota; Viridiplantae; Streptophyta; Magnoliopsida; Poales; Poaceae
Description: long non-coding RNA (SBIC_LNC006080)
Source: RNAcentral
GUGGUCAUCACCAUCAUCACCAUGAUCAUCACUUGCUCCAUCACUUGGCAUGGACCAACCUCAUUAAGUCUACACAUACUUAGCAUAGAGGUUAGUACUAGGGUUUCAUCAAUUAUCCAAAACCAAACUAGGGCUUUCAGCUGCUUGACUUGGGCCGCAGGGGAGGGAAACGCUGCUGCUGCGGGCCGUUAGGCUGGGGAGGGGAGUGGGCCGAGGGCCAGGAUAGGGAGAGGAGAAGUUUUGUUUUCUUUUUAUUUUCUAUUUCUCUUUCUUUUAUUCCAAGUCCAUUUUCAAAUCUAUUUUUAAAAUCACUUUGAAAUAUUUUUGAACUUUAGUCAAACCACUCAAGUCAACAAAAUUUAAUGCAAAAGCAUGAAUGCACAACAAGUUGCUAGGUCCCAUGAUAAAUUUUAAUUCAAUGAAAAAUAUUAUUUUUCUAUGUUUUAUGAACACAAAAAUUCAUAAAUAAAUCAUUUUAGCUCUAUUUUCCAAGGAAACAAUUUUUUGGGUGUUACACCCUCUCUCCGAUGGCACCCACCACCCUCUCCCUCCCUCCACUCUUCCCGGAACCCCUCUUCCUCCUUAGCAGCGGCGCAGCGAGCACCCUCUCCCACCCCCAAGC